RNAcentral lists this ribosomal RNA (244 nucleotides) under uncultured bacterium. RNAcentral's name for it is "partial 16S ribosomal RNA". It matches the Rfam family "Bacterial small subunit ribosomal RNA", at positions 524 to 767 of the family's 1533-position model. The record is from RNAcentral.
UACGAAGGGGGCUAGCGUUGCUCGGAAUCACUGGGCGUAAAGCGCACGUAGGCGGAUUGCUAAGUCAGGGGUGAAAUCCUGGAGCUCAACUCCAGAACUGCCUUUGAUACUGGCGACCUUGAGUCCGGGAGAGGUGAGUGGAACUGCGAGUGUAGAGGUGAAAUUCGUAGAUAUUCGCAAGAACACCAGUGGCGAAGGCGGCUCACUGGCCCGGUACUGACGCUGAGGUGCGAAGGCGUGGGGA